UCAGUUGCAACUGUGACAUUACGCCGAGGCUCUGAAGUGGGUAAUUGCAGACCAAAGCUAGGCUGGAAGGCUAUAUUUGAGGUGGUCAUUAGCGUUGUGGUCUGUACCUUGACUCCCAGAUGUUCACUGUGAAUCUUGUUGGUGCUGGUAUCACUGUACCUCUCAAAUAGCUUCCCCAUUUUGACUAAGAAUGAAGAGAUUCUUGGAUAAAGAACUUGUAAAAAUCAGGUACAAUAAUAAAGUUGUGAAUGGUUCUUGGAAUUUGCUAAAAUGAAAUGCUGCAUCUAAGUGCAAUUCUCCUCCAAUUUUGGCAUACUGUGUCCCACCUUGACAUUAAGAAGUUAUUAGUCAGCACUGGAGAGGCUGUGCUGCAGUAAUGAAUGUUGGUGACUUAAAACAGGGCAAGUCUGUUUCUUACUCCUUUUACAUGGUGGCUGUAAAUUGACCAGGAACUCUGCUCUACAUUUUCCUCAUUUAAGGACCCUGGCUGAGGAGGGGGCUCCAUCUUCAUUCUUCCACAAAUACUGCAGCAAAGAAAAAGUAAAAUGGCAAAUAGCACACAGACUAUUAAAUCUUCUCCCUAGAAUGACUAUUUGUCACUUCUGAUCACACUAAUUGAUUAAAUCAAAUCACGUGGCCAUGUUAAUUUCAAAUGGGGUCAAGAAGAGUAAUCCCCUCAUGUGCCUAGAAGGAAAAAAGCCAGAAUGUUUAGUGCACUAAUGAUUUCCACAGGAAAUUUCCACAGGAAAGAUUAGAGAUGGCAACUCUUCUAACCCAUUCUUAGUUCAAGCCAGAUUUCAGUGUGGAAUUUCUUCCUUUUCUAGUUGUAGAACUCCAGGAGUAUAACAAUGGAUGAUAACUCUCUUCAAGGAUUUAUGAGAGAAUAGUAUAUGAAGCAUUAGGAUCAACUGUUUUACUAUUCAUUCAUUUAUUUAUAUGGUCUUUCUUUUGCCCCCAAGUGAGAGUUGAAGCCAGCUGGACUUCCUGGGUAAAGUGGGGACUUGGAGAACUUUUCUGUCUAGCUAGAGGAUUGUAAACGCACCAAUCAGUGUUCUGUGUCUAGCUAAAGGAUUGUAAAUGCACCAAUCAGCACUCUGUAAAAACGCACCAAUCAGCACUCUGUAAAAUGGACCAAUCUACACUCUGUAAACUGGACCAAUCAACAGGACGUGAGCAGGACCAAAUAAGGAACUAAAAGCUGACCACCCAAGCCAGCAGCAGAAAUCUGCUGGGGUCCCCUUCCAUGCUUUGGAAGCUUUGUUCUUUCCCUCUUCACAAUAAGUCUUGCUGCCGCUCACUCUUUGGGUCCACACUACCUUUAUGAGCUGUAACACACACCGCCGGGGUCUGUGGCUUUAUUCCUGAAGCCAGCGAGACCACGAACCCACCGGAAGGAAGAAACUCUGGACACAUUGGAAGGAGCAAACUCCAGACUCACCAUCUUUAAGAGCUGUAACACUCACCGGGAAGAAGGUCCCUAGCUUCAUUCUUGAAGUCAGCAAGACCAGCAAUCCACCAGAAGGAACCAAUUCCAGACACACAAGGAGGAUAUAAUUUGAAAUGGUCCAGAGUUUCUGCUUUCCUGGAGAAUCAUUCACCCCAUUACCCCUCUGGCAUUACUGAUCCCGGAUCUUAAAAUGAAGAAAGAGUGAAUGUGCAAGUGUAUAGGAAAAAUGGCUUCAAGUGACAAAGUAAACCCUUUUGUGACUCAGUUGGACCAGCACCUGUUGUUUCCUGACUUUUGAAUGAUCGCCAUUCUAACUGGUGUG
Molecule: long non-coding RNA, 1769 nt
Organism: Chlorocebus sabaeus (green monkey)
Lineage: Eukaryota; Metazoa; Chordata; Mammalia; Primates; Cercopithecidae
Source: RefSeq, a predicted model, not a curated record